AGGCUUUGAUCCUCAAAGAAGUAAGGUCGACUUUACAUGAGGAAGGGAACAAAAUCAAGCCAAAGAAUGUAAACCUCUCAGCUUCGCAUCAGCAGUAAAAAACAAAGUGGAGUGUUUACUCAAACAAGUAAUAAUGGAAUAUCUAGCAACUAUAACACAUAAGAGGAGUCAGUCAAUGGAAGUUUCAAAAGGGGAAAUCAUGCUUGACCAAUAUGAAUCAACUCUCUGAAGAAUGAUACACACUUGAGUGCUUAUGAAAAAGACACAUUUUGUCAAAGUUUUUCAUCUUGCAUUCAUCAGGGUAGUUCACAAGAAUACCAUUAUAAAGUGAAAACAACAUUUAUACAAUAUGAAAGCACUGAUUAAAAUUGGAGUAUGACUUACUAUGGAAAUCCCAAACAAGAAUAGCAAUGGAAAGACGAUCAAUAUG
Molecule: non-coding RNA, 430 nt
Organism: Chiloscyllium plagiosum (whitespotted bambooshark)
Lineage: Eukaryota; Metazoa; Chordata; Chondrichthyes; Orectolobiformes; Hemiscylliidae
Source: RefSeq, a predicted model, not a curated record